CUUUCUGCGAACUCGGCCCCCGGCUGAUGUUUGCGGAAGGUCGCCACUUCCGAAGGCAGGCAGGGAUCUCCUCGGGGAUGGUGAACAGUCAGCUUGGAACUGUUACAAACUCGGGGAAUUCACCUGUUUAAUUGAAACAAAGCUUUGUGAUGGGUCACAGUGGCUUGUGACACGAAGGGAUUUCUGCCCAGUGCUCUGAUUGUCAAUGCAAAGAGACUUAACCAAGCGCGGGUAAAUGGCGGGAGUAACUAUGACUCUCUUAAGGUAGCCAAAUGCCUCGUCUUCUAACCAAAGACGCGCAUGAAUGGAUCAAUGAGAUUCCCACUGUCCCUAGCUACCGUCCAGCGAAACAGCAGUCAGGGGAACGGACCUGAGCGACACAGCGGGGAAAGAAGACCCUGUUGAGUUUGACUCUAGCCAAGUCUUGUGCGGCGACAUAGGAGGUGUAGUACAGGUGGGAGACUCUGUCGUCAAUGAAAUACCACUACUCUUAUCGUCGCGGUGCUAACAACAUGAUGGGGUGCCGGGUGGCGCCGAUUCUUUCGGUAUUUGAACCGUUUCUGGUUCUGUGCCUUAACCGUUUCGAGCGAUAAGUGCAGCCUAGCUGCAUGAACCCUCGUUGUUGGACAGAAGCUUGGUGGGGAGUUUGGCUGGGGCGGCACGCCUCUUAAACGAUAACGGAGGUGUCCUAAGCGGUGCUCAGUGUGAACAGAAAUCACACGUGGAGCAUAAGGGCAAAAGCCCCGUUGACUUCUCGAUUGUCAGUACUAAUCCAAGCCGUGAAAGCGGGGCCUAGCGAUCCUUUGGUCCCGUUAUGUUCAAGUCAUUGAAGCCAGAGGUGACAGAAAAACUACCACAGGGAUAACUGGCUUGUGGCCGCCAAGCGUUCAUAGCGACGUGGCUUUUUGAUCCUUCGAUGUCGGCUCUUCCUAUCCUAGACAAGCAGAAUUGUCUAAGGGUCGGAUUGUUCACCCGUACAAGGGAACGUGAGCUGGGUUUAGACCGUCGUGAGACAGGUUGGUUUUACCCUACUGUGUCUGGUGUGAACCUGAAAACACGGUUUGUUUGAUGGAAAGGCCCGACGAGGGCAACUUGAGGUAGUACGAGAGGAACUCUCAAGUCUCGGCUCUGGCAUCUGUAGUCAGUCGAGAGGCUGGUGCUACGAAGCUACCCCGAGCUGGAUUAUGGCUGAACGCCUCUAAGCCAGAAUCCAAACCCAAAGUCGGGCUUCUUGGCCGCCGUGCCAGGUCGUCUCGUGCAACAGUUUCUAUCGUAAGGGAACACAGCUACACCUUCGGGUGGUAUUGUCUGUUGGUGGGAUCCUCGGCUUGAGGAGGAAGACCCUCUAGCCGACUCCUUACCCAAGUCCACAGCCAGAGAGUACGAGAGACUCAGUCUGGUGUCUACGACUCCAUGUGCAGUGGCGAGUGUACACAUUCGAGGAGACGUGUUUCUCCGAGAUGUUGAGCUUAAUGGCCUCU
RNAcentral lists this ribosomal RNA (1481 nucleotides) under invertebrate metagenome. RNAcentral's name for it is "eukaryotic LSU rRNA". It matches the Rfam family "Eukaryotic large subunit ribosomal RNA", at positions 2000 to 3388 of the family's 3401-position model. The record is from RNAcentral.